This 347-nucleotide ribosomal RNA is filed under the name uncultured soil bacterium. RNAcentral's name for it is "bacterial SSU rRNA". It matches the Rfam family "Bacterial small subunit ribosomal RNA", at positions 26 to 355 of the family's 1533-position model. The record is from RNAcentral.
AGAUUGAACGCUGGCGGAAUGCUUUACACAUGCAAGUCGAACGGCAGCACGGGACUCAGGCAACUGAGCCCUGGUGGCGAGUGGCGAACGGGUGAGUAACAUAUCGGAACGUACCCAGUCGUGGGGGAUAACUCUCCGAAAGGAGAGCUAAUACCGCAUACGUCCUGAGGGAGAAAGCGGGGGACCUAAGGGUAACUGAGGGCCUCGCGCGAUUGGAGCGGCCGAUAUCGGAUUAGCUAGUUGGUGAGGUAAAGGCUCACCAAGGCGACGAUCCGUAGCGGGUCUGAGAGGACGACCCGCCACACUGGAACUGAGACACGGUCCAGACUCCUACGGGAGCAGCAGGU